Molecule: long non-coding RNA, 254 nt
Organism: Amphimedon queenslandica
Lineage: Eukaryota; Metazoa; Porifera; Demospongiae; Haplosclerida; Niphatidae
Exons: 3
Source: RefSeq, a predicted model, not a curated record
ACCUUGCUUUUACUAAUGAACAGUUACUUUAUAAUCUAUCUAACGGGCAAUUCACUGUUCCAUCUGUCAGUGGACAGUGUUGUCCACCAACUAAUAGUUUUACAAUCAACAAAAUAAAUCAAAAUAAAGGAAUAAUUGUUGGAGGAACAGUAACUGAUGAUGUGUACAUAUUUACUGUGACACAAAAUACAAUUAUACAUUGGGAGAGUAUGAUUAAAAGUGGAUUGAUAUCAGGUGAGGGACUCAGGCCUGUG